GACGAACCGUGCGAACGUUGUUCGGAAUCACUGGGCUUAAAGGGCGCGUAGGCGGUUCUCCAAGUCAGGGGUGAAAUCCUGCGGCUUAACCGUAGAAGUGCCUUUGAUACUGGAGAUCUCGAGGGAGGUAGGGGUCCGUGGAACUUCUGGUGGAGCGGUGAAAUGCGUUGAUAUCAGAAGGAACGCCGGUGGCGAAAGCGACGGACUGGAUCUCUUCUGACGCUGAGGCGCGAAAGCUAGGGGAGCAAACGGGAUUAGAUACCCCGGUAGUCCUAGCCCUAAACGUUGGGUACUAGAUUGUAAACUAACAUGGGUCUACAGUCGAAGCAAAAGUGUUAAGUACCCCGCCUGGGGAGUAUGGUCGCAAGGCUGAA
This 374-nucleotide ribosomal RNA is filed under the name uncultured bacterium. Its description in RNAcentral is "bacterial SSU rRNA". It matches the Rfam family "Bacterial small subunit ribosomal RNA", at positions 524 to 898 of the family's 1533-position model. The record is from RNAcentral.